UUAUGGCUCAGGAUGAACGCUAGCUACAGGCUUAACACAUGCAAGUCGAGGGGCAGCAUGGGAGUUGCUGCAACUUCUGAUGGCGACCGGCGCACGGGUGAGUAACGCGUAUCCAACCUUCCCCUUAGUAGGGCAUAGCCCGUAGAAAUGCGGAUUAAUACCCUAUGUUCUUCGAAGCGGUCAUCCAAUUUGAAGCAAAGAUUCAUCGCUAAGGGAUGGGGAUGCGUCCGAUUAGGUUGUUGGCGGGGUAACGGCCCACCAAGCCAUCGAUCGGUAGGGGUUCUGAGAGGAAGGUCCCCCACAUUGGAACUGAGACACGGUCCAAACUCCUACGGGAGGCAGCAGUGAGGAAUAUUGGUCAAUGGGCGAGAGCCUGAACCAGCCAAGUAGCGUGCAGGAUGACGGCCCUAUGGGUUGUAAACUGCUUUUAUCAGGGGAUAAAGUGACCCACGUGUGGGUUUUUGUAGGUACCUGAUGAAUAAGGACCGGCUAAUUCCGUGCCAGCCGCAGC
RNAcentral lists this ribosomal RNA (511 nucleotides) under uncultured bacterium. RNAcentral's name for it is "bacterial SSU rRNA". It matches the Rfam family "Bacterial small subunit ribosomal RNA", at positions 17 to 518 of the family's 1533-position model. The record is from RNAcentral.